GACCCCGGGCCGAAAAUGUACCGGGGCUAAACAUAUUACCGAAACUGUGGAUGAACCUCUUUAGAGGUUCGUGGUAGGAGAGCGUUCUAAGGGCGGAGAAGUCAGACCGGAAGGACUGGUGGAGCGCGUAGAAGUGAGAAUGCCGGUAUGAGUAGCGAAAGAAGGGUGAGAAUCCCUUCCACCGAAUAUCUAAGGUUUCCUGAGGAAGGCUCGUCCGCUCAGGGUUAGUCGGGACCUAAGCCGAGGCCGAUAGGC
RNAcentral lists this ribosomal RNA (255 nucleotides) under Listeria monocytogenes. RNAcentral describes it as "partial 23S ribosomal RNA". It matches the Rfam family "Bacterial large subunit ribosomal RNA", at positions 1155 to 1410 of the family's 2925-position model. The record is from RNAcentral. Lineage: Bacteria; Bacillati; Bacillota; Bacilli; Caryophanales; Listeriaceae.